UACGUAGGGCGCAAGCGUUGUCCGGAAUUAUUGGGCGUAAAGAGCUCGUAGGCGGUUUGUCGCGUCUGCUGUGAAAACCUAAGGCUCAACCUUGGGCUUGCAGCGGGUACGGGCAGACUAGAGUGCGGUAGGGGUGACUGGAAUUCCUGGUGUAGCGGUGGAAUGCGCAGAUAUCAGGAGGAACACCGAUGGCGAAGGCAGGUCUCUGGGCCGCAACUGACGCUGAGGAGCGAAAGCAUGGGGAGCGAACAGG
RNAcentral lists this ribosomal RNA (253 nucleotides) under uncultured bacterium. RNAcentral describes it as "partial 16S ribosomal RNA". It matches the Rfam family "Bacterial small subunit ribosomal RNA", at positions 524 to 776 of the family's 1533-position model. The record is from RNAcentral.